UCAGCAGCCGCGGUAAUACGUAGGGUGCAAGCGUUGUCCGGAUUCACUGGGUUUAAAGGGUGCGCAGGCGGCAGCGUAAGUCCGGGAUGAAAUGGCGGGGCUCAACCCCGUCGCUGUCCCGGAUACUGCGGUGCUGGAGUCACAAUGAGGCAGCUGGAAUGGACGGUGUAGCGGUGAAAUGCGUAGAGAUCGUCUGGAACGCCAAUUGCGAAGGCAGGCUGCUGAUUGUGUACUGACGCUCAGGCACGAAAGCGCGGGUAGCGAACAGGAUUAGAUACCCUGGUAGUCCGCGCCCUAAACCAUGGACACUCGCUAUCCGGAGGUUUCCUCUGGGUGGCUGAGCGAAAGCGUUAAGUGUCCCACCUGGGGAGUACGCUCGCAAGGGUGAAACUCAAAGGAAUUGACGGGGGCCCGCACAAGC
RNAcentral lists this ribosomal RNA (421 nucleotides) under uncultured bacterium. Its description in RNAcentral is "bacterial SSU rRNA". It matches the Rfam family "Bacterial small subunit ribosomal RNA", at positions 508 to 930 of the family's 1533-position model. The record is from RNAcentral.